GCCCCUAUAGCCCAAUUGGCAGAGGCAGACGACUUAAAAUCGUCAGAGUCAGGGUUCGAGUCCCUGUAGGGGCA
Molecule: transfer RNA, 74 nt
Filed under: Homoserinimonas aerilata
Lineage: Bacteria; Bacillati; Actinomycetota; Actinomycetes; Micrococcales; Microbacteriaceae
Rfam family: tRNA
About the family: Transfer RNA (tRNA) molecules are approximately 80 nucleotides in length. Their secondary structure includes four short double-helical elements and three loops (D, anti-codon, and T loops).
Source: Rfam by way of RNAcentral